GUAGGGAAUAUUGCGCAAUGGACGAAAGUCUGACGCAGCGACGCCGCGUGAGUGAUGAAGGCCUUAGGGUCGUAAAGCUCUGUUGAAUGGGAAGAAAAAAAUGACGGUACCAUUCGAGGAAGGACCGGCUAACUUCGUGCCAGCAGCCGCGGUAAUACGAGGGGUCCUAGCGUUGUUCGGAAUCAUUGGGCGUAAAGGGUGUGUAGGUGGCCAUGUAAGUCAGGUGUGAAAGCCCCGGGCUCAACCCGGGAAGUGCACUUGAUACUGCGUGGCUUGAGUACCGAAGAGGGUAGUGGAAUUCCAGGUGUAGUGGUGAAAUACGUAGAUAUCUGGAGGAACACCGGUGGCGAAGGCGGCCAACUGGUCCAUUACUGACGCUGAGGUGCGAAAGCGUGGGGAGCAAACAGGAUUAGAAACCCCGGUAGCC
Molecule: ribosomal RNA, 427 nt
Filed under: uncultured bacterium
Lineage: Bacteria
Description: partial 16S ribosomal RNA
Rfam family: Bacterial small subunit ribosomal RNA
Source: RNAcentral